ACGUAAAGCGCAUGCAGGCGGCCUGUUAAGUCAGAUGUAGAAACGGCCCCGGGGGUACUUAACCCUACGGGUAAAUUGCUAUUUAGAAACGUGGCAGGCUAGAGUCUUGUAGAGGGGGUAGAAUUUCAGGUGUAGCGGUGAAAUGCGUAGAGAUCUGAAGGAAUACCAGUGGCGAAGGCGGCCCCCUGGACAAAGACUGACGCUCAGAUGCGAAAGCGUGGGGAGCAAACAGGAUUAGAUACCCUGGUAG
Molecule: ribosomal RNA, 250 nt
Filed under: uncultured bacterium
Lineage: Bacteria
Description: partial 16S ribosomal RNA
Rfam family: Bacterial small subunit ribosomal RNA
Source: RNAcentral